CACGGUGGGUGCCCUGGCAGUCAGAGGCGAUGAAGGACGUGCUAAUCUGCGAUAAGCGUCGGUAAGGUGAUAUGAACCGUUAUAACCGGCGAUUUCCGAAUGGGGAAACCCAGUGUGUUUCGACACACUAUCAUUAACUGAAUCCAUAGGUUAAUGAGGCGAACCGGGGGAACUGAAACAUCUAAGUACCCCGAGGAAAAGAAAUCAACCGAGAUUCCCCCAGUAGCGGCGAGCGAACGGGGAGCAGCCCAGAGCCUGAAUCAGUGUGUGUGUUAGUGGAAGCGUCUGGAAAGGCGUGCGAUACAGGGUGACAGCCCCGUACACAAAAAUGCACAUGCUGUGAGCUCGAUGAGUAGGGCGGGACACGUGGUAUCCUGUCUGAAUAUGGGGGGACCAUCCUCCAAG
This 405-nucleotide ribosomal RNA is filed under the name Enterococcus faecalis. RNAcentral's name for it is "partial 23S ribosomal RNA". It matches the Rfam family "Bacterial large subunit ribosomal RNA", at positions 20 to 464 of the family's 2925-position model. Lineage: Bacteria; Bacillati; Bacillota; Bacilli; Lactobacillales; Enterococcaceae. The record is from RNAcentral.